AGCCAUGAGACGAAGAUGCCAAGGAGGAGAUGACACGUCCCACAUGGAUCAAUGUACUGAGGGAGCAUGAGGGGGAAGAGGAGGCAGACUGUUUUCCUCCUCUGGGAUUAGAGCGACUGACUGCUGAAGGACACUCAGCCUCUACCUGCAUGGAUCUGCUGGAUUAUUACCUGAGUGACACCUGAGCAGGCUGCACGGGAAUUUCCCCGGUUCGAAACCUUGGAAUACAUUCCUGCAAUCUCAAACUAACUUGUUAACUGAAACAAAGAAUUCAUUUGGGCGGUUACCUGAUGUUUCCUGUGGCACUGCGCACACUGGGCUCGCGGAAAGAAGACAGCGCAGCUCCAGACAGACAGCGGGGCUACACGGCGGACAUAGCGAGCCGGCUGCCGGAUAGAAACAGCGCGGACUACCGGGGAUGGGGGAACUUGCGGAGGGCGCCGUUUUGAGAUUUCGCGGCCGGCGUUGGGAGCUCUGUGCCGGGCACGAGUAGGCUUCCUCACCGGGGGAAGCGCGAGGGAGUUAUGGAGGAGGUUGAGAGGAACGGCAUCUUGUUUAAUGUCUGCCAAUCAAGACGAGAGGAGGACAACUCCCAAACUGGCAUGACAUAACAGGAGAGUGAAGACAGGAUCAAGAGACCAGGACAAUUUAUGAACCCGAUGGCAUAUGGGAACUGGUGCAUGGCAGCAGGGGUGAACAGAACCUCAGAACAUUACUUAAGUACAAUUUUAAGAGGAGCCACGGCUGCUGUAAUCUCCACUGUUCAAUUAGCUGCAGUGACCGGGACGCCACCUACACUUCAUUACCAGGGAGGGGAAGGUGUCACAUGCAGCCAGCAGGAGAGUAAAGAGUAGCAGUAACGAGACGAGAGUAAAAGAGCUCGCUGUCAGAAGUGAGAGCCAUUUCUAGGUGAAGCAUACUGAAUUAAAGUGAAUCAAGCUGAACUGAUCUGAACUGGAAUGGCCUGAGCUGAACUGAAAGGAAAGCUUCAGCCUGACAGGACUCUGGGGAAAAAAAGGUUCAGGCCGAAAAAACCUUGAAAUGAUACAGAUUAAACCCUUCUGUCAUUGAUGCCUGUUGUUUCCUGGGGGGUUCCUUGAUAUAUUUAUACUGCUGUUCACUCUUAUGUUAUGUUAUAGGACAUGAAAUAAACCAAAAAUAAGUUUGACUCAUUGAGAUCUUUUUUAUUUGAGUACCAUUUAUCACAGAAUAUGAAUUUACAUUAAAGUUGUCACUCUCUUCUCAGAGAGUUUGUUUUUGUUGUCUAAAUAACUCAUGGAGGGAUCAUAAUGGAAUACAAAUCUUAAAAGGGUUACUCACACCAAAACUAAAAACACAUAUGUUUCCUCAUACCUGUAGUGCUUUUUAUGAAUCUAAAUUGUUUUGGUGUGAGGUGCAGAGAUUUGGAGGUAUCUUUUCCUCUUCAAUAUAAUGAAAUGACCUGAACUGGAAUGCCUCUUCCCAGAAAUCAUGAGCAGUGAUCCACAGACUUCGUUGUAAGCAGUUUCAUGUAGGAACUAUUUUCUCUCUACAACAUCAGCAACAAUAUCAAUGCAAAGAAGGCAGAGUGCAUUACAUGGACGAGAAACUGUCCGGCGCUGGUUACAUCUCAGCUGAAGAAGACGCCAUCUUGUUUACAUUUUGCCCUCUUUCUCUGCUCCAGAAAUACUGUUUCUGUUCCAACUUUAUGUUGUUAGAAGUUUGGGGAAAUCAAGCACUUCCUCGCUUCAUCUUCUUAAUGUAGCUUUUGUCUGUGAUGAUCAGUUAGAUGGUUGGUUUUUUCAACAUCUUUGAGGAUGUUGACAUAUGUCAACCAGAAUGUAGGUAUUAUAAUAUUGAUAUGUAAACCUGCUUGAAGUGUUUCCAAUCAUUGGAACCUGUAUUUGUAUAAUAAUAUGCCAUUUUGUAUUGUAAAAAACCAGUAUGAUAAUGUACAGAUAUGUAUCACCUCAAUCUGGAACUUCGCCAAAGUGAGUGGCCAAAAAAAAUAAAUAAAUAGAUGUUAUUGCAUAUUUUGUUUGAAUAUCGUUAAUAUAAAAAUGAUACUUACUGUAAGUCUAUGUCACACAGUGGGAUUUCUAACACAAGUGUUUUGAAUAGCUGUUUCUGAGGUUACUGAAGUUGUGUGUGUGUCUAAAGUCCAUAGCUACAUUAAAGGGGACCUAUUAUGCAAA
This is a long non-coding RNA of Gymnodraco acuticeps, 2174 nucleotides long. RefSeq lists it as uncharacterized. The record is from RefSeq and is a predicted model, not a curated record. The transcript has 7 exons. Lineage: Eukaryota; Metazoa; Chordata; Actinopteri; Perciformes; Bathydraconidae.